RNAcentral lists this ribosomal RNA (482 nucleotides) under uncultured bacterium. RNAcentral describes it as "partial 16S ribosomal RNA". It matches the Rfam family "Bacterial small subunit ribosomal RNA", at positions 28 to 507 of the family's 1533-position model. The record is from RNAcentral.
GACGAACGCUGGCGGCGUGCUUAACACAUGCCAGUCGAACGCUGAAGCUCAGCUUGCUGGGUGGAUGAGUGGCGAACGGGUGAGUAACACGUGAGUAACCUGCCCUCUUCUUUGGGAUAACGCCCGGAAACGGGUGCUAAUACUGGAUAUUCACUGAUUCUCGCAUGGGGGUUGGUGGAAAGGUUUUUUCUGGUGGGGGAUGGGCUCGCGGCCUAUCAGCUUGUUGGUGGGGUGAUGGCCUACCAAGGCUUUGACGGGUAGCCGGCCUGAGAGGGUGACCGGUCACAUUGGGACUGAGAUACGGCCCAGACUCCUACGGGAGGCAGCAGUGGGGAAUAUUGUACAAUGGGCGAAAGCCUGAUGCAGCGACGCCGCGUGAGGGAUGGAGGCCUUCGGGUUGUAAACCUCUUUCGCUCAUGGUCAAGCCGCAGCUUUGGGUUGUGGUGAGGGUAGUGGGUAAAGAAGCGCCGGCUAACUACGUG